GACGAACGCUGGCGGCGUGCUUAACACAUGCAAGUCGAACGGAAAGGCCCUGCUUUUGUGGGGUGCUCGAGUGGCGAACGGGUGAGUAACACGUGAGUAACCUGCCCUUGACUUUGGGAUAACUUCAGGAAACUGGGGCUAAUACCGGAUAGGAGCUCCUGCUGCAUGGUGGGGGUUGGAAAGUUUCGGCGGUUGGGGAUGGACUCGCGGCUUAUCAGCUUGUUGGUGGGGUAGUGGCUUACCAAGGCUUUGACGGGUAGCCGGCCUGAGAGGGUGACCGGCCACAGUGGGGAGUAGGGACGGGCGAGAGGAGUCCGGAAGGCAGCAGGGGGAGAGAUGGCAGAGGGGGCGGGGGUCAGAAGCAGCAGCGCCGGGUGAGGGAGGUCGGGCGACGGGGGGGGAACAGAUGGCGCCGGUAACGAAGCGUGAGGGACGGGAAGGUAUAAAGAAGCAAGGGCUCGCCACAUC
This 468-nucleotide ribosomal RNA is filed under the name uncultured bacterium. RNAcentral describes it as "partial 16S ribosomal RNA". The stretch from base 13 to 373 matches the Rfam family "Bacterial small subunit ribosomal RNA", at positions 40 to 399 of the family's 1533-position model. The record is from RNAcentral.